UUGGAAAGGAGUUUUACUUCGGCGUCCCGGCGAAUCUAGCGCAAGAUAAAAGCACUCAAAUCGAGAUAGACGUUGCCACAAAGAUACCAGGCGAGCUCCAUGUAUUCGCUCCAUAUCACAAUAUAAACGUUACAGUAGCGAUUUAUGAAAAAUAUUCAUAUACCUUGAUGACCCCACAUGAAAUUUUUACCACCGGCAAGCAAAAAAAAUGGGUAUUUACAUCUCAUCUAGUGUUCCUGUUUCGGUCUUUGUAAUGAGUUCCAGUCGGGCAAGCGGAGACACGUUUCUGGCAUUUCCUUUGGACGCUCUUGGAACAGAGUAUGACAUACUCGCGUAUCUUUCAUGGAAAUCCGGAUAUCUUUCAGAGGUGGUCUUCGAUGCUCCUUUUGACGGGACGAUUGUGAACAUGACGGUUGAAAACCAAUCCACCGUUGUGACUCUCGACCGUCUCGACCAAUAUCAGAUGCUUACAACGACACAAACCCUUACAGGGGCGCUUGUUUCAUCGAACAAACCAAUUGCCGUGUUCUCUGCGGCCAGUUGCGACACAGGACCCCCAAUUUAAGACGUCACGUGUUUAAAUGGAGGCACGUCAUUGGGGGACACGUGUCUGUGUGCGAGUCGUUUUGCAGGAGAACGCUGUCAAAUUGAUGCUGACUGUACGUUUGACAACGAAACGGUGUGCAGUUGGACAAACCCGCACUCAUUGGACAAUUUUGAUUGGGUUGUUCACCGUGAAGCCACGCCCACUGACGAUACUGCGCCUAACAAUGACAAUAC
Dreissena polymorpha is the source of this 780-nucleotide long non-coding RNA. RefSeq lists it as uncharacterized. The transcript has 3 exons. NCBI's taxonomy places the organism in Eukaryota, Metazoa, Mollusca, Bivalvia, Myida, Dreissenidae. The record is from RefSeq and is a predicted model, not a curated record.